Molecule: RNA transcript, 1217 nt
Organism: Erigeron canadensis
Lineage: Eukaryota; Viridiplantae; Streptophyta; Magnoliopsida; Asterales; Asteraceae
Exons: 4
Source: RefSeq, a predicted model, not a curated record
GUAAAAGGAUGGGUAGUAAGCUGGAUAAUUAACCGGUUUUAAAUUUUGUACAGUGGUUUCUUCUUCCGUUUCCGAUUCCAAAAAAGAUCACAUCUAUAAAUCAACCUUAUCUACGGUUUGUUCCUAGGGGUAUAUGUAUGUAAACCAGUAAUAUAUUUGUAUUAUUAUAUUUAUAUAAAUGGAAAACGGUAACGGCGGCGGAGUAGAUGAGAAAAUCGGCAGUGAGGAUGUGAUUUCGAAGCUGAAAGAUGACGGUGAUUUCGAUAGACUCCGUCUCAACCUUAUCCGCAAACUUAAGGAUAAUGAAGAGCUGCGCAAUAGCAUUGUGUCAAUUGUUAAGCAGUCUGUAGCAAUUAACCUUCCUGGAGCUGACAACUUGAAGCCUCGACAACUGGCUGAUGCCAUCCAUCAAGAAGUCGGGGGCAAGUUAAAUGAAAAGAUCUCUGAUGUGCUGUGGGAAAUUAUCCGAUCAUCUGAUUCUGAUGGCAUGAAAACUGACAUCACUGAAACCGUGAAAUCCGUUUAUGAUAAACUUUCUAGACCAAAACGAGACAAAUAUACAGAGUCCAUAGUACAUGAUCCAAAACGAAUCCGUAACGAAUGUCAUCUUCAUACAUCGAAUAAUGAGUCAACUGUUGAAGUCAAUAUCAUAUCUGAUAAUGAACCGAAAGAACCUCCUGGUUUCUCACAAACUAUUUCUCAUCAGAUCGACAUUAUAACUCCAAUUACGCUGUCGAUGGAAACAAUGAACCACCAAACACAGAAAGGAUCAAACAACGAUACCCAUGAUAAUAAAGAGCAAGGUGAUGAUAGUGAUGACGACCCUGAUGCGCCACCUGGAUUUGGUUAACGUGUCGUAAUUGAUUUGGAAUUUUAGCUGUCACAAUUUGUAACCAGCUAUCUACAUCUCUUGUGGUUAAAGAUAAUGCAAUUUUAUGGCAAAGGUUAUAUAUUGAAGGCUUGAAGCUAUUUCUGUUUCACAUGGAGUUAGAAAGAAUAUGUAGAAACACACGAUGGCCGUGUAUGUGUUCAACUGCCAAACAAACAUAGGUUAUCAUUUUUGGCCUUGUUUUAUGUAUUUGCCUUGUAUGUAGUGAAGAUAUGUUUAUGCUCCUUCGUAGCUCUUCAAUUGAAAUGCUGUUAGGAUAUGAAUAUCUGUGAGCUUGUAAAAUGCAGUUAUCAGAACACAAUUCUUAGUGGCCGUCUUGCAUUCAAAA